Molecule: long non-coding RNA, 1423 nt
Organism: Pan troglodytes (chimpanzee)
Lineage: Eukaryota; Metazoa; Chordata; Mammalia; Primates; Hominidae
Exons: 5
Source: RefSeq, a predicted model, not a curated record
AGAAUAUUGACGACAAAAUGUUCCUGCCUUCAAGGACCACACUUCCCAAGGAAGCAGCUACAUACACAGAUAAGAAAUACAAGUCAGGCAAUCAUAAAAAAUUCAAGGCUGGGAGAGAUCUGUCCCAUGCAGCUGUGGAGUACUGUGGACAUCGCCACAGUGAAGGCCCCCAACAGGACUCUCCCCACAGCAAUCCAAUCCACUUCUCUUCCCCCUGUUCUUGAUGGCAGGGAUUUCUCAAAUCCAGAAGCAGCUGAGCAGGACUGGAGAGCUGGCUCAAAGGAAGAGGCCAUAGCUGGGUGAAUAAUUUGGCCAUGGCCAUGCAGUAGAUCCCAAUCACCUGAACACUGCCAUGGUCUGGGAUUGGUCCUUGAAAACUCAACCCCAUGACUUAACAUAAGGAAAGUUUUCUGGAACUUUAAAAGUGGGAGGUUUACUUUCCACAUGGAAUGUUGAACUGCUGCUACUUAAACGUGGAGUUGAUGAUUUCACCUUCAUUACCACUGAAAUCUUGCCUGCAAAUGAAGCACCUCCAAGAGCUCUUUCUACUGGCAAGCAAAAGCAGGGGCCCGUGAUGCCUUUUCCACAGCCAUUUUUCAGAUACCUCCUCUUCCUACCUGUGAAUUUGCAUACAGUAUGGGGCACGAGGAAGUCAUUCCAAAAGACCCCAAAAAGAACCCACACUAGAGAAGUUAUAACUGAGUCGAAGUUGCUGGUCCAUCUGCAGGAAAACAGAAAACAAAGGCACAUCAGCAGAGGUCUGCAGGCUGGAGUGCCCUGGUGCAAUCUUGGCUCGCUGCAACGUCUGCCUCCCAGGUUCAAGCCAUUACUCUGCCUCAGCCUGCUGAGUAGCUGGGACUACAGGCAUGCACCAUCACGCCCGACAAAUUCUUGUAUUUUUAGUAGAGACGGAGUUUCACCAUGUUGGCCAGGCUGGUCUCGAACUCCUGACUUCGGCCUCCUGAAGUACUGAGAUUACAAGCAUGAGCCACCGUGCCUGGCCUGCUUUAUGUCAUUUUGAAGGAGUUUAAGAAGGGAGAGAUAAUAAAUUUGCACAUUCAUUCUUCAUGUUUAAAUGAGAACAUACAUUUAUCACAUGUAAUUUUUCUGACCAAAAAGUAAAAAAUCCUGGGGAGCCCUAUUAAUACUUUAAAAUCACUUGUUCCAAGAAAGUAGCACUCCCCUGUGUGCUAUUCCACUACAGCAUUUCAGUUGACAGUGGCUGUGGGAUUUGGCUGGUGAAUAUCGGAGCUGGAGGCUCUUGCUGCAUCCUGAAACUUGCAUUACAGAAAUUGACACCAAUAAAGGCAUGGUAUUUUUUCUUGACUUGUUAGUCCUGUGUGCUUCCUUGUGCAUCAAAGUACAAAUUGCUAAAUAUCAGGAGAUCUGUGGCAAGUUCUUUCAUUGGCAUUGUGUUUCUAAA